GACUGCUCCAGUGGCUUAGUGAUUAGAUCAUCUGCCUCAGGUGCAGGAGAUCGUGGGUUUGAACCCCAGCCGAGUCA
This is a non-coding RNA of Potamilus streckersoni, 77 nucleotides long. The record is from the annotation of a GenBank genome assembly. Lineage: Eukaryota; Metazoa; Mollusca; Bivalvia; Unionida; Unionidae.